GACCAGACUCCUACGGGAGGCAGCAGUGAGGAAUAUUGGUCAAUGGGCGAGAGCCUGAACCAGCCAAGUCGCGUGAGGGAGUACUGCCCUAUGGGUUGUAAACCUCUUUUGUCGGGGAGCAAAAGCCGGACGUGUCCGGCUGUGAGAGUACCCGAAGAAAAAGCAUCGGCUAACUCCGUGCCAGCAGCCGCGGUAAUACGGAGGAUGCGAGCGUUAUCCGGAUUUACUGGGUGUAAAGGGAGCGCAGGCGGCCUUGCAAGUCUGAUGUGAAAGGCCGGGGCCCAACCCCGGGACUGCAUUGGAAACUGCGAGGCUGGAGUGUCGGAGAGGCAGGCGGAAUUCCUAGUGUAGCGGUGAAAUGCGUAGAUAUUAGGAGGAACACCAGUGGCGAAGGCGGCUUGCUGGACGAUGACUGACGUUGAGGCUCGAAAGCGUGGGGAGCAAACAGGAUUAGAUACCCGUGUAAAA
Molecule: ribosomal RNA, 468 nt
Filed under: uncultured bacterium
Lineage: Bacteria
Description: partial 16S ribosomal RNA
Rfam family: Bacterial small subunit ribosomal RNA
Source: RNAcentral